RNAcentral lists this transfer RNA (67 nucleotides) under Marmota monax (woodchuck). It matches the Rfam family "tRNA". From Rfam's summary of the family: Transfer RNA (tRNA) molecules are approximately 80 nucleotides in length. Their secondary structure includes four short double-helical elements and three loops (D, anti-codon, and T loops). The record is from Rfam by way of RNAcentral. Lineage: Eukaryota; Metazoa; Chordata; Mammalia; Rodentia; Sciuridae.
GGUUGUGGCUUAGCGGUAGAGUGCCCGCCUACCAAGUGCGAGGCACUGGGUUCAAUCCUCAGCACCA